GACGGAAGGUGCAAGCGUUGCUCGGAAUCACUGGGCGUAAAGGGUGCGUAGGCGGCCUCGUAAGUCUGACGUGAAAGCCCCGGGCUCAGCCCGGGAAGUGCGCUAGAAACUGUGAGGCUCGAGUGCCGGAGGGGAGAGUGGAAUUCCUGGUGUAGCGGUGAAAUGCGUAGAUAUCAGGAGGAAUACCGGUGGCGAAAGCGACUCUCUGGACGGCAACUGACGCUGAGGCACGAAAGCGUGGGGAGCAAACAGG
Molecule: ribosomal RNA, 253 nt
Filed under: uncultured bacterium
Lineage: Bacteria
Description: partial 16S ribosomal RNA
Rfam family: Bacterial small subunit ribosomal RNA
Source: RNAcentral